GACGAACGCUGGCGGCGUGCUUAACACAUGCAAGUCGAACGGAAAGGCCCUGCUUUUGUGGGGUGCUCGAGUGGCGAACGGGUGAGUAACACGUGAGUAACCUGCCCUUGACUUUGGGAUAACUUCAGGAAACUGGGGCUAAUACCGGAUAGGAGCUCCUGCUGCAUGGUGGGGGUUGGAAAGUUUCGGCGGUUGGGGUUGGACUCGCGGCUUAUCAGCUUGUUGGUGGGGUAGUGGCUUACCAAGGCUUUGACGGGUAGCCGGCCUGAGAGGGUGACCGGCCACAUUGGGACUGAGAUACGGCCCAGACGCCUACGGGAGGCAGCAGUGGGGAAUAUUGCACAAUGGGCGGAAGCCUGAUGCAGCAACGCCGCGUGCGGGAUGACGGCCUUCGGGUUGUAAACCGCUUUCGCCUGUGACGAAGCGUGAGUGACGGUAAUGGGUAAAGAAGCACCGGCUAACUACGUG
Molecule: ribosomal RNA, 468 nt
Filed under: uncultured bacterium
Lineage: Bacteria
Description: partial 16S ribosomal RNA
Rfam family: Bacterial small subunit ribosomal RNA
Source: RNAcentral